CUUCCUGGCUCGUGACAGAGACUUCCUAUGCCUUCUUUAAGUAAAGAUGCAGGCUGGCCUGGAACUUGGCAUACAAUGCAGCCUUCCUUUGCUCUUCUCCGGCCUCUUGUUGUCAGCCACCUGAAUGCUGGAAUUACAGAGACGGUAUCUGUAAUCAUUAGGAGGGCAUUGAAUCAGGCAGCCAAAGCAAGAAGCUGGCUGGUCACAUAUUUAACCACAAGGUAGCGGAGACGGUCGACUACAAGUGAAACAAGGCCAUAUACCUUCAAAGUUUACUUCAGACAGAAAGGCUGCACCUCCUAAAGUCCAUAGCCACCCUAAAUGGUGCUACCAACCAGGAAGCAAGUGUCCAGAUAUGUGAACCUGUGGGGGACAUUCCUCAGUCAAACCACCACAAAGGGAAUGCACAGAUGAUUUUGAAAUCUAUACAGUCUGUUACUGGCAAAUUAUUCUAUAGUCUUACUUGGUGGAUCUGAUUUAUUGAGCUAUGACGGCAUGAAGGUGUUUUCUGUGCCCUGAUAGAAGUGCAGCUUGCUACACUAAGGCCAACUCAGAAAGGCUUUCUCAGUUGUAUCUUUCACACUCUUCAGGAAAUUUGUGACAUCAGUACCCCCAGUCCCUCUGUUUUCCACAUUUGAGGGCUCUUCUGACUUGCGGCCAUCUGUGGGCUUCUGCCUGGAAGGUUUCACAAUGAGCUGACUGAUUUCAUGAGUGGACUCUAUGUGUGUCUCUGUCUUUAAAUUACACAUGGCAAUAAAAAUACCUGAAGAGAGCACCAGUAACAUUCGGCACUAAGUCGUAAAAGGCACUGAGAAACCAACGCUCUUCCU
This is a long non-coding RNA of Mastomys coucha (southern multimammate mouse), 830 nucleotides long. RefSeq lists it as uncharacterized. The transcript is spliced from 5 exons. The record is from RefSeq and is a predicted model, not a curated record. NCBI's taxonomy places the organism in Eukaryota, Metazoa, Chordata, Mammalia, Rodentia, Muridae.